CAGAGGUCUCGAGCGUUGUUCGGAUUCAUUGGGCGUAAAGGGUGCGUAGGCGGCGCGGUAAGUCGGGUGUGGAAUCUCGGAGCUUAACCCCGAAACUGCAUUCGAUACUGCCGUGCUUGAGGACUGGAGAGGAGACUGGAAUUUACGGUGUAGCGGUGAAAUGCGUAGAUAUCGUAAGGAAGACCAGUGGCGAAGGCGGGUCUCUGGACAGUUCCUGACGCUGAGGCACGAAGGUCAGGGGAGCAAACGGGAUUAGAUACCCCGGUAGUCCUGACAGUAAACGGUGCACGUUUGGUGUGGGAGGAUUCGACCCCUUCUGCGCCGGAGCUAACGCGUUAAACGUGCCGCCUGGGGAGUACGGUCGCAAGAUUA
RNAcentral lists this ribosomal RNA (372 nucleotides) under uncultured organism. Its description in RNAcentral is "bacterial SSU rRNA". It matches the Rfam family "Bacterial small subunit ribosomal RNA", at positions 526 to 896 of the family's 1533-position model. The record is from RNAcentral.